This 1142-nucleotide ribosomal RNA is filed under the name Triticum aestivum (bread wheat). RNAcentral describes it as "partial small subunit ribosomal RNA". The record is from RNAcentral. Lineage: Eukaryota; Viridiplantae; Streptophyta; Magnoliopsida; Poales; Poaceae.
CGUAGGUCGGGUAAGUAUGGAACCACAGUGUACCCGGGCUUCUUUGGUAAAGUAAGCCGGGUUGAUUGCCGGGCCCAGCGGUUAUUAGGCAACCUGGGUGAACGUCACUGUGUACGCACUCCCGUUUUAGCCGUAAACUCGGCUAGCCUCCGCCCCCCAAUUUGGGAUCGACCGCCGUGGGGGUAUAUAUUCGCCCGUGGGGAAGCGGGAGGCUGGGAGACUCGAAAGCCGCCGCCGCCGCGUGAGUAGCACUAGAGUUGGUCCGCGCGUGAGGAGGAGGAGCGGCAGCAGCAGAGGCCAGGUGGCGGCGAGGUGCGCUGGUACAGCAGCUUCUCCUUCUGGUCCCUCGGGUUCCUCCUCUUACAGUGGGAACCUGGCCGACAGGCACUCCCUCUCGUACAGAAACCGCAACGAGUGUAGAAACGUAGGAAGUUACUGUGAAAGUAGGUACACUGACUGAACAGACCCUCCCUUUGGGACCACGCCUAGUGACCACCUUACUUCCAGUUCCGACUAGCACUACUCAGAAGUGGGAUACGACGAUACGAACGUAGAGUCCUACAACGAUGUGCAACGUUCCUCGAACCAUAAUGGCGUGACGUGUAAUUCGAGGCACGGUGACCUCCGUUGUUCUGGUUCUGUGGACCUGGACCUCGAGUCAGACGAGAGUCCCGAGAACGAGCAAGACCCUACUUUUAACCCGCGUAACUCCUGCACUGAGGUCAAGGGUGACUGUCGUGGGCGGCCUUCCCUCCUUCCUCCCCUUCCUCCGACAUCCGAUAGAAGGUUGAGAUGACCACCGUUAGUUCUUUGAAUGAGGAGAGACCCAUCAGGACGACAAAGAUACUUACAGUACUCCUCGAAAUUAAAACGAGACAACUCCUAGUAAACGACAAUCAGCAUGAUACUUACAACGAACCUAGGAUAAAAACCAAGUCUUUGAACACCAUAAAUACGUUUUUUGAUCGAAAAGUCAGAUACCUAUGGAACUUUACCUCACUAUAGAAUUAAGUAUACCCAACGAUCAGUAGAAAAACCACUACGUAACCACGACACUCUUGACAGUGGGUAUCACGGGUCACGAAACGUUAUUGUCAGAAAUUAUACCAUGAGACAAGAUACAAGUACAAGUUGCCAAGACG